Molecule: long non-coding RNA, 486 nt
Organism: Macrobrachium nipponense
Lineage: Eukaryota; Metazoa; Arthropoda; Malacostraca; Decapoda; Palaemonidae
Exons: 3
Source: RefSeq, a predicted model, not a curated record
UGAUCGGUGUCUUUUCAUUGUGUUGUUGCGUUUCUGUGUUGUUGGGUGUUGUCGGUUACCCGAUGCGAAGGAAAUCUUUAUCGGUUGCAGUAGUUUGUGGUUAGAAAGGAUGUGGUUUGGAAGGAUGGUCUACGUUUAGUCGUGAUUGUGACGGUCCUCAAAGCUCGGUUUUCGCAGUAUCUGAACCACUUUGAAGAAAAGUUUGUGAGAAAUUACUAGUGAGUUUUGAAGCCAGAAUUACUUCUCGUGCUAUACAGAGAGGCACUUCUGUUCCUACUUUUGGCUGAUGAAAAAUCAGGAUGUUUUGGAUCUUUGAAGACCAUGCAAACACUUCUUAUUGAAGACCACCUUUGUUUGUUGCUUUUACUCCAAAGUGUUCAUGGGAGGUGAGAAUGGAGCCUGGCUUUACUGAGGUACCAACUUUUACCACAUAUUACCAAUAGUUUUGAAUGGUGCUCUUGCAAGUAUGUAAGAAAGCAAUUUAUU